UUCUUUUAUAUGAAGGUAGCUGAGUCAGAUAUGAAUGCAUGUUAUUGAGGGCAUGUAAAUAAAGAAUAAUACUAACUUAAUAUACUACAUAUAUACUUAAUAACAAUACAAAUAGGUUAUAAUUAUGUCGCUAUGGUAUAUGAGAAAGUCAAGUAAAUAUCUAAGUAAUAGGGCAAUGGGAUGUGAGAUAUUAUAAGUAUUUAUAGUUUAAAAACAGUCAAAUCAACGCCAAGCAAACCUAAACUUAAUGACACUGAUUAAAGCUUAUAAUUAAACAAGAGAGACUUACAAGAAGAUUGUGUUUAAUAUGACUACAGAAUAGUGGGAAUCAUAAUGGAAGGAAGACAAAAUAAGAUGCAACGUACGGGUUUUAGCUACAAUAAUUAGUAAGAUUGAAGACUUCUUGACGAUGUUUAUAAUGUAUCCUAUAAAAUAUUCACUCACCAGAAUCGUCCAAAGAUUCAGGAGGGACAGAUAUCUACUCCAAACCUGGUAUCUGUUGCAGAUAUUCAAGAAAAUUAUAGGAAAACAAAUGUGAAUGACGGACAGAUUUAGCAAGAUGAAAGAUUUAAGCCUACAAGCACGCUACUGUUUCUCACAUCAAAGGUACAUUGUUAAUUAUGAACAUCAAUA
Molecule: long non-coding RNA, 633 nt
Filed under: Pectinophora gossypiella (pink bollworm)
Lineage: Eukaryota; Metazoa; Arthropoda; Insecta; Lepidoptera; Gelechiidae
Description: uncharacterized LOC126374105
Source: RNAcentral